Molecule: unclassified non-coding RNA, 342 nt
Filed under: soil metagenome
Description: partial contains 5.8S ribosomal RNA, internal transcribed spacer 2, and large subunit ribosomal RNA
Rfam family: 5.8S ribosomal RNA (bases 1-120)
Source: RNAcentral
GAUGAAGAACGCAGCGAAAUGCGAUAAGUAAUGUGAAUUGCAGAAUUCAGUGAAUCAUCGAAUCUUUGAACGCACAUUGCGCCCGCUAGUAUUCUGGCGGGCAUGCCUGUCCGAGCGUCAUUUCAACCCUCAAGCCCCCGGGCUUGGUGUUGGGGAUCGGCGAGCCUCCGCGCCCGCCGUCCCCUAAAUCUAGUGGCGGUCUCGCUGUAGCUUCCUCUGCGUAGUAGCACACCUCGCACUGGGAAACAGCGCGGCCACGCCGUAAAACACCCAACUUCUGAACGUUGACCUCGAAUCAGGUAGGACUACCCGCUGAACUUAAGCAUAUCAAUAAGCGGAGGA